Molecule: non-coding RNA, 1633 nt
Organism: Punica granatum (pomegranate)
Lineage: Eukaryota; Viridiplantae; Streptophyta; Magnoliopsida; Myrtales; Lythraceae
Source: RefSeq, a predicted model, not a curated record
ACUCACUCACUCUCUCUCUUCCCUUCCCUCACCUUCUUCUCUCUUCGGCCUUUUCGUCUUCCUCUUUCCGCACGCAUGUACGAACGAAGGCCAGGGAGAGAGUGACGCACGCAAGCUCUAUCUCGUCCUAGCGAUUCGGGAUGCCCCGGUAUCCAAACCCUAGCUCGGCCUCUCCUUCGCCGGACAUUGAGUUCCGCACCUUCGACGAUGACGCCUGGUACAGCGUCCGCCUCCUCCUCCUCAGCUCCGGCCACCAGCUCAAACUGAUGUACUGCCACCUCUCGGACUUCUACGACAGGGUCUUCCACGCCAAGGACUUUCGCUCCCUCGAAGCGAUCCAGGACUUUCGGUCGAGGUUCAGGCCUGCCUCCCCUCAGCUUCAGGACUCGGAUUGCGGCUCCGUUACCCCGGGCACCCUCGUCUGCGCCUCUCACUCCCCGAGGGACGGCGAUGUUUGCUUCUACGACGCCAUUGUUGAAGCAGUGGAGCGGAAGGAGCACAGUAGAUACAAGUGCUUGUGUAGCUUUAUGCUUCUCUCUAAACAUGGCCCAAGUGAAGGGAAGAUGGUCAUGAAACGUAUUGAAAGCAUUUGUGUGGUCCAACCCACUGUUCGGGUUGAUCCCAAGGUUGCCUCAUUUCUGGAGAUAGCAACAAAACAUAUGAAUAGGAUUAUGCCCGAGUCAAAUGCCAAUUCUGGAGGUGAAGCGUGCUCAUCUCUAGACAGGAAGAUUGACAAGUGCAGUGGAAAGAGUCCACAGGAUAUUGAUCUUGGAGGAGUGCGCAAACAUUACAUGAUAUUGAUCGAGAACCUCGAGAAGGACUUACAAUCAUCCUCUAUCGAGGAUUUCCUCCAAUUGCACACGUCAAUGUCAACUAGAGCAUGUAUUUUCCCUUGCUUGCCAUCAGAAUCGUAUGCACGCGGAGCUAUUUUUGUGGAUUCCGAGAAGAAUCUUAAGAAGUUGUACGAUUUUCUAGAGGAUCCUGAUCAAUCAUCGUAUCCUCUAGAGGAAGACCGUUAAUGACAUCUGGAAAGUUAUGUGGGAAUGCCAUAACAUCUUUUUCAGCUCUUAUGCCCACAUACCUCAGAAGACCAUCAAGCAGGAAGCUGGAGAUCCAAGUUGUCCGCUCGGGAACUGAAGAAUACACACAAGCUAAGAAGCUGAAGGAACUCUUUUUGCUUUUUCUGGAGAAGCAGAAAAUAUUGCACGAGAGACUAGCAACAGAGGGGGGGAAAUUUUUGAAGCAGCUAGCAACAAAGUGACUGGAAGUAACAUUGGCAGAAACUCGUACUUCUGACUUCUGAAAGGUGACACUGCAGAGAUCCAAAGCUCAUAUCUGUGAAUAAUAGUCUAGUCAAUGUAGAUAUCUGCUUUAUAGCAAAUGCCUUGGGUAGGUCCCAUUUGGAGCAAGGUUUUGUCGAUGUUCAUGAGAGAUCAGUACUCCUAUACUUGCCAUACGAAGGGACAACCGGUGAUUCUUUUCUUCAGUUAGAGCAGAGGUGAUCAUCUCUCUGAUGUUAGUGACAAGAUUAGGGUUAAUUUAACCUUAUAAUUGAUUAGUCUAUACUUGAGUUGUGAUCACUACUGUCGAUGACUUACAAUCUAUGCAUAUCAUGAUUACGAUCAUUCUCAAA